This 342-nucleotide unclassified non-coding RNA is filed under the name uncultured fungus. RNAcentral's name for it is "partial contains ITS1, 5.8S rRNA and ITS2". The record is from RNAcentral. Lineage: Eukaryota; Fungi.
AACGCAAAUUGCGCUCGAGGCUUUGGCCAAGAGCAUGUCUGCCUCAGCGUCGGGUUAAUACUCGCUCACUCACUCUCUCUUCUGGGUGUGUGUGUGCGGAACUGGCUUUCCCGGUAACAAGGUGACGGUUUACUACUUUCACCCCUCCGCCGGGUCUGCUGAAGUGAAGAGGUUGAUGCAUGGACCCGCUCAAUGGGCCUCAACUGGGUAGGCAAUCUUUGUGUUGCCAACAAAUGCUUUAGUUGAUGGCUUUGGGACCGUGCUUGUCGACCCGAACCAGGAAACAACUCUUAACCUCAUUUCCUCGACCUGAGCUCAGGCAAGAACACCCGCUGAACUUAA